This 454-nucleotide ribosomal RNA is filed under the name uncultured bacterium. RNAcentral's name for it is "bacterial SSU rRNA". It matches the Rfam family "Bacterial small subunit ribosomal RNA", at positions 29 to 534 of the family's 1533-position model. The record is from RNAcentral.
AACGAACGCUGGCGGCAUGCCUAACACAUGCAAGUCGAACGAGACCUUCGGGUCUAGUGGCGCACGGGUGCGUAACGCGUGGGAACCUGCCUUUAGGUUCGGAAUAACUCAGAGAAAUUUGAGCUAAUACCGGAUAAUGUCUUCGGACCAAAGAUUUAUCGCCUUUAGAUGGGCCCGCGUUGGAUUAGCUAGUUGGUGGGUAAAGGCCUACCAAGGCGACGAUCCAUAGCUGGUCUGAGAGGAUGAUCAGCCACACUGGGACUGAGACACGGCCCAGACUCCUACGGGAGGCAGCAGUGGGGAAUAUUGGACAAUGGGCGAAAGCCUGAUCCAGCAAUGCCGCGUGAGUGAUGAAGCUUAGGUUGUAAAGCUNUUUACCCGAGAUGAUAAUGACAGUAUCGGGAGAAUAAGCUCCGGUUAACUCGUGCCAGCAGCCGCGGUAAAGUGACUACUG